RNAcentral lists this ribosomal RNA (242 nucleotides) under Escherichia coli 2-177-06_S3_C1. Its description in RNAcentral is "partial 23S ribosomal RNA". It matches the Rfam family "Bacterial large subunit ribosomal RNA", at positions 1 to 245 of the family's 2925-position model. The record is from RNAcentral. Lineage: Bacteria; Pseudomonadati; Pseudomonadota; Gammaproteobacteria; Enterobacterales; Enterobacteriaceae.
UUAAGCGACUAAGCGUACACGGUGGAUGCCCUGGCAGUCAGAGGCGAUGAAGGACGUGCUAAUCUGCGAUAAGCGUCGGUAAGGUGAUAUGAACCGUUAUAACCGGCGAUUUCCGAAUGGGGAAACCCAGUGUGAUUCGUCACACUAUCAUUAACUGAAUCCAUAGGUUAAUGAGGCGAACCGGGGGAACUGAAACAUCUAAGUACCCCGAGGAAAAGAAAUCAACCGAGAUUCCCCCAGUA